UACGUAGGUGGCAAGCGUUGUCCGGAUUUAUUGGGUUUAAAGGGUGCGUAGGCGGACGCUUAAGUCAGCGGUAAAAUUGCGGGGCUCAACCUCGUCGAGCCGUUGAAACUGGGUGCCUUGAGUGGGCGAGAAGUACGCGGAAUGCGUGGUGUAGCGGUGAAAUGCAUAGAUAUCACGCAGAACUCCGAUUGCGAAGGCAGCGUACCGGCGCCCUACUGACGCUGAAGCACGAAGGCGUGGGUAUCGAACAGG
Molecule: ribosomal RNA, 252 nt
Filed under: uncultured bacterium
Lineage: Bacteria
Description: partial 16S ribosomal RNA
Rfam family: Bacterial small subunit ribosomal RNA
Source: RNAcentral